AGUGAACGCUGGCGGUAGGCCUAACACAUGCAAGUCGAACGGCAGCACAGUAAGAGCUUGCUCUUACGGGUGGCGAGUGGCGGACGGGUGAGGAAUACAUCGGAAUCUACUUUUUCGUGGGGGAUAACGUAGGGAAACUUACGCUAAUACCGCAUACGACCUACGGGUGAAAGCAGGGGAUCUUCGGACCUUGCGCGAUUGAAUGAGCCGAUGUCGGAUUAGCUAGUUGGCGGGGUAAAGGCCCACCAAGGCGACGAUCCGCAGCUGGUCUGAGAGGAUGAUCAGCCACACUGGAGCUGAGACACGGUCCAGACUCCUACGGGAGGCAGCAGUGGGGAAUAUUGGACAAUGGGCGCAAGCCUGAUCCAGCCAUACCGCGUGGGUGAAGAAGGCCUUCGGGUUGUAAAGCCCUUUUGUUGGGAAAGAAAAGCAGCAGGUUAAUACCCCGCUGUUCUGACGGUACCCAAAGAAUAAGCACCGGCUAACUUCGUG
This 492-nucleotide ribosomal RNA is filed under the name uncultured bacterium. RNAcentral describes it as "partial 16S ribosomal RNA". It matches the Rfam family "Bacterial small subunit ribosomal RNA", at positions 29 to 507 of the family's 1533-position model. The record is from RNAcentral.